UACACUCCUGCGGGAGGCAGCAGUGGGGAAUUUUGGACAAUGGGCGAAAGCCUGAUCCAGCAAUGCCGCGUGAGUGAAGAAGGCCUUCGGGUUGUAAAGCUCUUUUGUCAGGGAAGAAACGGUGAAAGCUAAUAUCUUUUGCUAAUGACGGUACCUGAAGAAUAAGCACCGGCUAACUACGUGCCAGCAGCCGCGGUAAUACGUAGGGUGCAAGCGUUAAUCGGAAUUACUGGGCGUAAAGCGUGCGCAGGCGGUUUUGUAAGUCUGAUGUGAAAUCCCCGGGCUCAACCUGGGAAUUGCAUUGGAGACUGCAAGGCUAGAAUCUGGCAGAGGGGGGUAGAAUUCCACGUGUAGCAGUGAAAUGCGUAGAUAUGUGGAGGAACACCGAUGGCGAAGGCAGCCCCCUGGGUCAAGAUUGACGCUCAUGCACGAAAGCGUGGGGAGCAAACAGGAUUAGAAACCCCUGUAGUCCC
This 473-nucleotide ribosomal RNA is filed under the name uncultured organism. RNAcentral's name for it is "partial 16S ribosomal RNA". It matches the Rfam family "Bacterial small subunit ribosomal RNA", at positions 332 to 797 of the family's 1533-position model. The record is from RNAcentral.